UGAUCCUGGCUCAGGAUGAACGCUAGCUACAGGCUUAACACAUGCAAGUCGAGGGGCAGCGGGAUUGAAGCUUGCUUCAAUUGCCGGCGACCGGCGCACGGGUGAGUAACGCGUAUCCAACCUUCCGUACACUCAGGGAUAGCCUUUCGAAAGAAAGAUUAAUACCUGAUGGUACGAUGAGAUUGCAUGAUAGCAUCCUUAAAGAUUUAUCGGUGUACGAUGGGGAUGCGUUCCAUUAGGUAGUAGGCGGGGUAACGGCCCACCUAGCCAACGAUGGAUAGGGGUUCUGAGAGGAAGGUCCCCCACAUUGGAACUGAGACACGGUCCAAACUCCUACGGGAGGCAGCAGUGAGGAAUAUUGGUCAAUGGACGAGAGUCUGAACCAGCCAAGUAGCGUGAAGGAUGAAGGUCCUACGGAUUGUAAACUUCUUUUAUAAGGGAAUAAACCCUCCCACGUGUGGGAGCUUGUAUGUACCUUAUGAAUAAGCAUCGGCUAACUCCGUGCCAGCAGCCGCGGUAAUACGGAGGAUGCGAGCGUUAUCCGGAUUUAUUGGGUUUAAAGGGAGCGCAGACGGGUCGUUAAGUCAGCUGUGAAAGUUUGGGGCUCAACCUUAAAAUUGCAGUUGAUACUGGCGUCCUUGAGUGCGGUUGAGGUGUGCGGAAUUCGUGGUGUAGCGGUGAAAUGCUUAGAUAUCACGAAGAACUCCGAUUGCGAAGGCAGCACACUAAUCCGUAACUGACGUUCAUGCUCGAAAGUGUGGGUAUCAAACAGGAUUAGAUACCCUGGUAGUCCACACGGUAAACGAUGGAUACUCGCUGUUGGCGAUAUACUGUCAGCGGCUUAGCGAAAGCGUUAAGUAUCCCACCUGGGGAGUACGCCGGCAACGGUGCAACUCAAAUGAAUUGACGGA
This 911-nucleotide ribosomal RNA is filed under the name uncultured bacterium. Its description in RNAcentral is "bacterial SSU rRNA". It matches the Rfam family "Bacterial small subunit ribosomal RNA", at positions 14 to 917 of the family's 1533-position model. RNAcentral also lists the same sequence under 1 other name. The record is from RNAcentral.